AGUGAACGCUGGCGGUAGGCCUAACACAUGCAAGUCGAACGGCAGCACCGUAAGAGCUUGCUCUUACGGGUGGCGAGUGGCGGACGGGUGAGGUAUACAUCGGAAUAUACUUCUUCGUGGGGGCUAACGUAGGGAAACUUACGCUAAUACAGCAUACGACCUACGGGUGAAAGCAGGGGAUCUUCGGACCUUGCGCGAUUGAAUGAGCCGAUGUCGGAUUAGCUAGUUGGCGGGGUAAAGGCCCACCAAGGCGACGCUCCGUAGCUGGUCUGAGAGGAUGAUCAGCCACACUGGAGCUGAGACACGGUCCAGACUCCUACGGGAGGCAGCAGUGGGAAAUAUUGGACAAUGGGCGCAAGCCUGAUCCAGCCAUACCGCGUGGGUGAAGAAGGCCUUCGGGUUGUAAAGCCCUUUUGUUGGGAAAGAAUAGCAGCAUGUUAAUACCCCGCUGUUCUGACGGUACCCAAAGAAUAAGCACCGGCUAACUUCGU
Molecule: ribosomal RNA, 491 nt
Filed under: uncultured bacterium
Lineage: Bacteria
Description: partial 16S ribosomal RNA
Rfam family: Bacterial small subunit ribosomal RNA
Source: RNAcentral